This 247-nucleotide ribosomal RNA is filed under the name uncultured bacterium. Its description in RNAcentral is "partial 16S ribosomal RNA". It matches the Rfam family "Bacterial small subunit ribosomal RNA", at positions 8 to 244 of the family's 1533-position model. The record is from RNAcentral.
AGAGUUUGAUCAUGGCUCAGGAUGAACGCUAGCGACAGGCCUAACACAUACAAGUCGAGGGGCAGCGGAGAGGUAGCAAUACCUUUGCCGGCGACCGGCGCACGGGUGAGUAACACGUAUGCAAUCCACCUGUAACAGGGGGAUAACCCGGAGAAAUCCGGACUAAUACCCCAUAAUAUGGGCGCUCCGCAUGGAGAGCCAAUUAAAGAGAGCAACUUUGGUUACAGACGAGCAUGCGCUCCAUUAG